ACUUUCAACAAUGGAUCUCUUGGUUCUGGCAUCGAUGAAGAACGCAGCGAAAUGCGAUAAGUAGUGUGAAUUGCAGAAUUCAGUGAAUCAUCGAAUCUUUGAACGCACAUUGCGCCCCUCGGUAUUCCGUGGGGCAUGCCUGUUCGAGCGUCAUUUA
This 157-nucleotide ribosomal RNA is filed under the name Pleosporales sp. Its description in RNAcentral is "5.8S ribosomal RNA". It matches the Rfam family "5.8S ribosomal RNA". From Rfam's summary of the family: 5.8S ribosomal RNA (5.8S rRNA) is a component of the large subunit of the eukaryotic ribosome. The record is from RNAcentral. Lineage: Eukaryota; Fungi; Ascomycota; Dothideomycetes; Pleosporales.